RNAcentral lists this ribosomal RNA (467 nucleotides) under uncultured bacterium. RNAcentral's name for it is "partial 16S ribosomal RNA". It matches the Rfam family "Bacterial small subunit ribosomal RNA", at positions 28 to 506 of the family's 1533-position model. The record is from RNAcentral.
GACGAACGCUGGCGGCGUGCUUAACACAUGCAAGUCGAACGGAAAGGCCCUGCUUUUGUGGGGUGCUCGAGUGGCGAACGGGUGAGUAACACGUGAGUAACCUGCCCUUGACUUUGGGAUAACUUCAGGAAACUGGGGCUAAUACCGGAUAGGAGCUCCUGCUGCAUGGUGGGGGUUGGAAAGUUUCGGCGGUUGGGGAUGGACUCGCGGCUUAUCAGCUUGUUGGUGGGGUAGUGGCUUACCAAGGCUUUGACGGGUAGCCGGCCUGAGAGGGUGACCGGCCAAUUGGGGAUUGAGAUACGGCCCAGACUCCUACGGGGGGGAGCAGGGGGGAAUAUGGAACAAGGGGCGGAAGCCGGAGGCAGCAACCCCGCGGGCGGGAUGACGGCCUUCGGGUGUUAAACCGCUUUCGCCUGGGACGAAGCGGGAGGGACGGUAAUGGGUAAAGAAGCACCGGCUAACUACGU